UCCGAGUUGACCCCGGCAGUCUCCCAUGAGUCCCCGGCAUAACCCGCUGGCAACAUGGAAUGAGGGUUGCGCUCGUUGCGGGACUUAACCCAACAUCUCACGACACGAGCUGACGACAACCAUGCACCACCUGUCCACCAGCCCCGAAGGGAAACCCCAUCUCCGAGGCGGUCCGGUGAAUGUCAAGCCUCGGUAAGGUUCUUCGCGUUGCUUCGAAUUAAACCACAUGCUCCACCGCUUGUGCGGGCCCCCGUCAAUUCCUUUGAGUUUCAGCCUUGCGGCCGUACUCCCCAGGCGGGGCACUUAACGCGUUAGCUACGACACUGAAGGGGUCGAUCCCACCAGCGUCUAGUGCCCAUCGUUUACGGCGUGGACUAC
Molecule: unclassified non-coding RNA, 378 nt
Filed under: uncultured bacterium
Lineage: Bacteria
Description: contains 16S-23S intergenic spacer region
Source: RNAcentral